Molecule: long non-coding RNA, 471 nt
Organism: Spinacia oleracea (spinach)
Lineage: Eukaryota; Viridiplantae; Streptophyta; Magnoliopsida; Caryophyllales; Amaranthaceae
Exons: 2
Source: RefSeq, a predicted model, not a curated record
UUCCAUCCCUUUUAAAUAAUACUUUUUUCAUUAUUUUUUACAUAACCCGUCACAUACAUGCUUAUUGUUUAAGGAUAUAAAAUAAUUCCACAAAGAUUAAGUGAACUCGCGUGAGGAAAAUAUAGAUAUUGGCAAAAAAACCAAUAUUGUGUUUAUCGACUAAUUUUCCAAGAAAAAAGGACGUCAUCGUCAUAUGCUCGAGGUCCAAUUUUAAAAGAUAAGAAGCCGAAGAAUGAGUUGGAACACUUGGAAUACAGAUUCAAGCUUGUUGCAACAAUUAGCAGGCGAAAGCAAGCAAUAGUAUAACACUUGUUAGCAACUAGAUCAACACUAAUUGCUUAAAUUUGAAACGCGCGUUGUUGUACUUGUUAAAAUUACUAACUUUUUUAUACAAUACCUUGAUUAUAAUUUGCAAACUAAGAAAUGUUGUACUCCUACAGAAUCUGAUAUACAACUAUAUAUGGAUGAUAA